Molecule: long non-coding RNA, 2283 nt
Filed under: Heterocephalus glaber (naked mole-rat)
Lineage: Eukaryota; Metazoa; Chordata; Mammalia; Rodentia; Bathyergidae
Description: lncRNA (ENSHGLG00100038849.1)
Source: RNAcentral
GCUCGCGGAAACUCGGUUGCUAUGCGACGGGGGCGGUUGACCAAAGUAGGCCCCGCGGUUUAGAGGAGCAGCCAAAUUUAUUACGGAGCUGGGCGUGGCCUCGGUUGCUUCGCAGCGGGGACGCUUAGGCAGGGCUUGAGCCCAGUUUCUAGACCAAUGCUCCCGGAAUUUUGCAUGGCACCCAAGAAAGAGAAAAGCGGGGUUGCGAGCAGCAGUUCUGAGAUAUGGGAACCUUCGCUCAUAGCUGCACACUUGAAUCAGACGCCAAGUCUUGAACACCAAAAAAUGACUUAAAAAAAAAAGCAAAACUGAAAAUAUAUAAUGGAAGAUAAUUCCAAGAGGCCUGGAUUAUUCCAUAGUUGUUUGGAGUGAUUGAACACAAUAGGAAAGCGUUAUGUAGUGAAAGUGUUGUGUGUCACACAUCAAGUGUCAGAUGGCACUUUGACACCAACCACAAAAGUGUUGCCAAACUUGGUGAAACUGAAAGGAGUUUCUUGAAGAGAAACUGAGGAAUCAUCAUUCCCAGUAUCUUAGUUUUUGGAACUAUCUUUCUAAAAGAAAUCAUCUGACAGCUUCCACCUUUCAAAUUUUACUGUGCAUAGCGAAACAUGGUAAACCCUUGUGUGAAAGGGAUUUUAUCAAAAUGACCAUGUUAUCUGGGAGUAAGUCCAUGUUUCAUGACUUCCCAAACAAGGAUAAAAUUAUGCAAUCCAUCUUUGAGAUGCCACUUACAGAAAUACUGUUGAAGACUAAGUCCUGUGCAUGGCAAGUGAUGUUAGUCAGCAGCUCACUUCUGACUUACAAAAGGAAGCCUAUUACUCCAUGUGGUUGGAUGAAAGCACAGAUAAAAAUAAUCAUGCAAGACAAGAAGUAAUUUUGUGUUAUGCUGCUGGUGACAUCAUGAGAGAAGAGCUGGUGGAACUGGUGUCCUUGCCUGGAAGAACACGGGAUAGAUAUCUACAGUACUGUGAUGGAGGCUUUUUUUUGUCAAAAUACAUAAGACUAAAAAAAGUGGUUUCAAUUACUAGUGAUGGAGCACCCUGCAUGGUGGGAGCAGCAUCUGGUUUUAUACAGUUAUUUGUUAAAGAAGCAAAAUAGGCAAUCAUUGUAUUAUACGUUAAGAAGCUUUUCGUGUCAAGGAAUGCAGCAAAAAAUUAAAUGAUAUCCUUAAAGAUGUCACAAAAAUGAUUAAUCAUAUCAUGUCUCAUGCUCUUAAUAUUUGACAAUUUUCAAGCAUUUCUUGAUGAGGUUCAGGCAGAAUAUAAUGCUUUACUUAUGCAAAAUAAUGCCCAGAGCCUGAGCAGAGAAUGAAUACUGGAGAGAUUUGUACCCUGCUUGGAUGAAAUUUGGCUGUUUAUGAAUGUAAAACGGAAGGAAUAUACACAGCUCACUGAUAUGGCCUGGCUUAACAACUUCAUGUUUUUUACAGAUUUUACGCUAUACUUCAGUGUACUGAAAAAAAAAAACAACUACCAGGUGUAGGGAAAACAGCAGAAAGGAUAUUUUGUGAUAGUACAUUUGAAAGAGAACUGCAGGUAUUUUUUAAAGAGAUUUUGAAUGUGGGCAGCUGAAAUACUUUUCAAAUCUAAAAAUGCAUUUAGAAAAUUCUACUUGCGCAUACAAUCUUACAAACUAUCAGGAAAUCUACAAGGAAAUUUCUAGCAUUGUAGCAACUACAAAGGAGAAUUUUACUAACAUAUUUUUACAGUUCCAUGAGAUGUAGACAAUCCUGUUUUCUUCUCAAUAUAAAGCCAAAUUUGAAGAACUUGAUCUUACCUGCUUGUACCGGUUAAAUUUUGGAAAUCUAGAAUUGGAACUUUGGGAAUUUUGAGAAAACUCUAUGCAAAAAUCAAUUCUGUGAGCUGUGUGCAACAUUUGAAAAGAUAAAGAAGAUAAAGUUUGAAGGGAUGACAAAGAACAGCACAGUUGGUAGUUCUGAAAAUGAAAUCCUGAAAAUAUGGAAUUCUCUUUCAAAUAAUUUUAAGUCAAUGAAAGCACAUAGGAUUGCACUUCUUACUUUGGAUCAUCUUAUCCUUGUGACUAGCUGUUUUCAGCUUUGAAUUAUACAAAAGCUGAUACAGGAAACAGACUAACCAUGACCUGAGUGCUAUAUGUGUUACUCUCAAACUAAGGAAAUAUGAACCAAGGUUUGACACUUUAUCAGCAUGCAUACAACAGCAAAGAUCAGGUCGAUGGUGCAAAAGCAUGUCAAAUGCAAACAUUUACCUUUCAAUAAAAAGCUGUUUGUAUCACUGAAAGCUGUCAUUGUGUUUUUCUUUUAAG